This 807-nucleotide long non-coding RNA is filed under the name Citrus x clementina. Its description in RNAcentral is "Citrus clementina (C. clementina) long non-coding RNA (CCLE_LNC001723)". Lineage: Eukaryota; Viridiplantae; Streptophyta; Magnoliopsida; Sapindales; Rutaceae. The record is from RNAcentral.
AAAAAGUUGUUGAUUUCAUUCUACACAUCAUCAAUGACACAUCUCUAGUUAAAUAUGUUAAUUUAUUUAUUAUAGGAACAUAAUAGUAAUUAUAAAUCAAAAAAUAAAUUUAUUAUUAAAAUAAAUAGAAUUAUUGAAAAAAAUAGGAAUUAUAAGUCUUUUCUAAAAAAUUAAUGGAUUUUAUUUUUCUUUUUCCAAACGUUUGAAAACUCCAUGACCUUUUCUCUUUCUUUAACUUUAGCUAGCUCCCUUUAUAGUUAGUUAAAAAGUAUGUGUCGGCUCAAGCUCAGCCCAGGCCCACAGGCCAGCCCUCAAGGUAAAAUUAUGGAUAAUGACUUAAAAAAUAUAAAGCCCAUAUAGAAUGGAAUUGGUUAAGGACCUUCAACAAAAGCCUGCCCUGUCCUAGAAAAAGAAAAAGAAAACUCAAAAAUCAAAAUAAAAAAAAAACGCAAAAUAGCCAAAUCCUAAUGCCUCAACGUCACUGCCCUUAGCCACUCACACUAAUCGCACUAGCAGCCACCCAAAACGGCAAAAACUAAAUGCAGCAACAGCCAACAGUCGGCAGCCACGCCUUCUCACCUUCAGUAUUAUUGCAAUAAAUUGUGUGUGUCACAGAUUCAUUUUUAGGAUACUCUUAGGUGAUGUUUGGUUGGGAGAAGAGAAUGGGGGAGAGAAAAGUAAUUCAAAUUCUACUUUUAUUUUUAUUGUUUGGUUGUACAAAAUAUAUAAGAAUUUAAUAUCUCUUAUAAUAUAAAAUUUGAAUUCCACACCAAAGAGUGAAGAAUUCAAAUUCCUCUUAUUUUGGAA